This 83-nucleotide small nuclear RNA is filed under the name Erinaceus europaeus (western European hedgehog). RNAcentral's name for it is "U4 spliceosomal RNA". It matches the Rfam family "U4 spliceosomal RNA", at positions 1 to 82 of the family's 138-position model. From Rfam's summary of the family: U4 small nuclear RNA (U4 snRNA) is a component of the major U2-dependent spliceosome. The record is from Rfam by way of RNAcentral. Lineage: Eukaryota; Metazoa; Chordata; Mammalia; Eulipotyphla; Erinaceidae.
UUUAUUUAGCAGUGGCAGUAUCAUAGCCAGUGAGGUUUAUCCGAGGCACGAUUAUUGCUAAUUGAAAAAUUUCCCCAAAAAUA